This 579-nucleotide ribosomal RNA is filed under the name uncultured bacterium. RNAcentral's name for it is "partial 16S ribosomal RNA". It matches the Rfam family "Bacterial small subunit ribosomal RNA", at positions 355 to 932 of the family's 1533-position model. The record is from RNAcentral.
UGGGGAAUUUUGGACAAUGGGCGAAAGCCUGAUCCAGCAAUGCCGCGUGUGUGAAGAAGGCCUUCGGGUUGUAAAGCACUUUUGUCCGGAAAGAAAUCCUUGGCUCUAAUACAGUCGGGGGAUGACGGUACCGGAAGAAUAAGCACCGGCUAACUACGUGCCAGCAGCCGCGGUAAUACGUAGGGUGCAAGCGUUAAUCGGAAUUACUGGGCGUAAAGCGUGCGCAGGCGGUUUGCUAAGACCGAUGUGAAAUCCCCGGGCUCAACCUGGGAACUGCAUUGGUGACUGGCAGGCUAGAAUAUGGCAGAGGGGGGUAGAAUUCCACGUGUAGCAGUGAAAUGCGUAGAGAUGUGGAGGAAUACCGAUGGCGAAGGCAGCCCCCUGGGCCAAUACUGACGCUCAUGCACGAAAGCGUGGGGAGCAAACAGGAUUAGAUACCCUGGUAGUCCACGCCCUAAACGAUGUCAACUAGUUGUUGGGGAUUCAUUUCCUUAGUAACGUAGCUAACGCGUGAAGUUGACCGCCUGGGGAGUACGGUCGCAAGAUUAAAACUCAAAGGAAUUGACGGGGUCAUAGCUG